Non-coding RNA from Camelina sativa (false flax), 339 nucleotides. Lineage: Eukaryota; Viridiplantae; Streptophyta; Magnoliopsida; Brassicales; Brassicaceae. The record is from RefSeq and is a predicted model, not a curated record.
CAGGUGAAAAGCUUUGGAUGAGGAGAAAAAUCCAGAGACCUACAUACGAAGACUCCUCCAAUUGCUAAAUCAUAGGAAGUUAAGAAAAAGAAACGUCACUGCGAAAGAGUUUGAAAGUUAUAAAUGCUAAGCUUCCACAACGUAACUGCCUCAAAUUAAGUGCUUGAAGAUGCAUUGACAGGAGGAAAUACAACACCAUGAUGUCUAUGCUGAUGAUGAUCAAUUCGUUUGUCACAUAAAAAGACGAAGAAUGUGAGGAGGUGGUGCGUUAGUGCAAGAGUGGAGAGAAUGAAAGUGUUGUAAGUUUUGUUAGUAGUUUGGUCGGAAAAACCAGUUAAA